RNAcentral lists this long non-coding RNA (1110 nucleotides) under Serinus canaria (Common canary). RNAcentral's name for it is "lncRNA (ENSSCAG00000001658.1)". Lineage: Eukaryota; Metazoa; Chordata; Aves; Passeriformes; Fringillidae. The record is from RNAcentral.
GGCACAGCUGGGGUACCCCUGGGCACACCUGGAGUACACGUGAGAUACACCUGGGGCACACCUGGGCGCACCUGGUGUACACCUGGGAUACACCUGGGUACAGCUGGGGAACACCUGGGCACACCUGGGAUACACCUGGGCACACCUGGGACACACCUGGGAUACACCUGGGCACACCUGGGAUACACCUGGGCACACCUGGGCACACCUGGGCACACCUGGGCACACCUGGGGACAUGCCCAGAUCCAUGGGGACACACCUGGGCACACCUGGGAGAUGCCUCGGGCACACUUGGGCACACCUGGGACUGUCUCUCACCUGUCCCACCUGUGUCCCACCUGUCUCACCUGUCCAUAUCUCGCUUGUCUGUAUCUCACCUCUUUGUCCCUCACCUGUCCCUCACCUGUCCCUCCUGUCCCUCACCUGUCUCUCACCUGUCUCUCACCUGUCUCUCACCUGUCUCUCACCUGUCUCUCACCUGUCCCUCACCUGUCUCUCACCUGUCUCUCACCUGUCCCUCACCUGUCUCUCACCUGUCUCUCACCUGUCCCUCACCUGUCUCUCACCUGUCUCUCACCUGUCCCUCACCUGUCCCUCACCUGUCUCUCACCUGUCUCUCCCCUGUCUCUCACCUGUCUCUCACCUGUCCCUCACCUGUCCCUCACCUGUCUCUCACCUCGUCUCUCACCUGUCUCUCACCUGUCUCUCACCUGUCCCUCACCUGUCUCUCACCUGUCUCUCACCUGUCUCUCACCUGUCAGGACGAGCGGCUGCUGCGGCCGUUCCUGGACAAGACGCUGACGUCGCGCCUGGGCAUGCGGAUGCUGGCAGCGCAUCACCUGGCUCUGCACGAGGACAAGCCGGAUUUCGUCGGCAUCAUCUGCACCCGCCUGUCCCCCAAGAAACUCAUCGAGAAGUGGGUGGACUUCGCCAGGUGAGCGCACCGGGGGCACGACCCAGAACACACCUGGGACACACCCAAAACACACCUGGGCACACCCAGAACACACCUGGGCACACCCAGAACACACCUGGGCACACCCAGAACACACCUGGGCACACCUGGGCACACCCAGAACACACCUGGGCACACCUGGGAUACACCUGAG